Molecule: ribosomal RNA, 526 nt
Filed under: uncultured eukaryote
Lineage: Eukaryota
Description: bacterial SSU rRNA
Rfam family: Eukaryotic small subunit ribosomal RNA
Source: RNAcentral
UUAUAUCUCUAUUUCAUUUGAUGGUGGCUCUUACUUGGAUAACUGUGGCGUUCUAGAGCUAAUACAUGCAUCAUAAUCCCACUUCUUGGAAGGGUAGGGAUGAUUUUAUACAAAACCAAACCAGGGCCUGCCUGGGUGCGAUCUGAGUCACUUCACCAUCACGAAUCAUGUGGCAUCGGCCCAUGACGCAUCCAUCAAGUUUCUGACCUAUCCCCUUCCGACGGUAACGUAUUGGCUUACCGUGGCUAUGACGGGUAACGGAGAAUUAGGGUUUGAUUCCGGAGAGGGAGCCUGAGAAAUGGCUACCACAUACCAGGAAGGGGAAGGCGCGUAAAUUACCCAAUCCUGAUCCUGGAGGUAGAGACAAGAAAUAACAAUACAGGGCAUCCAUGUCUUGUAAUUGGAAUGAAUAGAAUCCAAACCCCUUUGUGAGUAUCAAUUGGAGGGCAAGUCUGGUGCCAGCAGCCGCGGUAAUUCCAGCUCCAAUAGCUCCUAUUAAAGUUGUUGCGUUUAAAAAGCUCGAAAU